CAUCCCGGGGAAUCUAAAGUGUCAUUUCCUCUCUGGAAGAAAGGAAGCACAAAACAUGCUAGGUUUCACUGACUUCAAUCAAUCAAUAUUGACAUAGAACUUAAGAUUUGGAACCUUAUCUUCUGAUCUGAUAAUUUUUCAUUUGAUGAGGAAAGGCGUUAAGCCCUGACAGUCUAUGCAUCCCCCAGAACAUGGGCUGAUUUUACGUGCACAAAAAGUGG
Long non-coding RNA from Leptonychotes weddellii (Weddell seal), 221 nucleotides. RefSeq lists it as uncharacterized. The record is from RefSeq and is a predicted model, not a curated record. Lineage: Eukaryota; Metazoa; Chordata; Mammalia; Carnivora; Phocidae.